Molecule: small nucleolar RNA, 130 nt
Organism: Heterocephalus glaber (naked mole-rat)
Lineage: Eukaryota; Metazoa; Chordata; Mammalia; Rodentia; Bathyergidae
Source: Ensembl
CAGCAUAUUUCCAAGGACUGUGACUGGUUGCAGCCAAGGAUCCCCAGUCACACACAAGAGUAAUGUGAAGAAACUUUGGCAGCUCAGGUCAACCCAAUACCUGCAGCUACCGCUCACCUUUCAUAUAAUG